GAUGAACGCUGGCGGCGUGCCUAAUACAUGCAAGUCGAACGCAUAGCGAAAGGUGCUUGCACCUUUCAAGUGAGUGGCGAACGGGUGAGUAACACGUGGACAACCUGCCUCAAGGCUGGGGAUAACAUUUGGAAACAGAUGCUAAUACCGAAUAAAACUUAGUGUCGCAUGACACAAAGUUAAAAGGCGCUUCGGCGUCACCUAGAGAUGGAUCCGCGGUGCAUUAGUUAGUUGGUGGGGUAAAGGCCUACCAAGACAAUGAUGCAUAGCCGAGUUGAGAGACUGAUCGGCCACAUUGGGACUGAGACACGGCCCAAACUCCUACGGGAGGCUGCAGUAGGGAAUCUUCCACAAUGGGCGAAAGCCUGAUGGAGCAACGCCGCGUGUGUGAUGAAGGCUUUCGGGUCGUAAAGCACUGUUGUAUGGGAAGAACAGCUAGAAUGGGAAAUGAUUUUAGUUUGACGGUACCAUACCAGAAAGGGACGGCUAAAUACGUG
RNAcentral lists this ribosomal RNA (497 nucleotides) under uncultured bacterium. RNAcentral's name for it is "partial 16S ribosomal RNA". It matches the Rfam family "Bacterial small subunit ribosomal RNA", at positions 28 to 507 of the family's 1533-position model. The record is from RNAcentral.